Molecule: ribosomal RNA, 207 nt
Filed under: Escherichia coli
Lineage: Bacteria; Pseudomonadati; Pseudomonadota; Gammaproteobacteria; Enterobacterales; Enterobacteriaceae
Also listed under: 1 other name
Description: partial 23S ribosomal RNA
Rfam family: Bacterial large subunit ribosomal RNA
Source: RNAcentral
AUGUGUAGGAUAGGUGGGAGGCUUUGAAGUGUGGACGCCAGUCUGCAUGGAGCCGACCUUGAAAUACCACCCUUUAAUGUUUGAUGUUCUAACGUGGACCCGUAAUCCGGGUUGCGGACAGUGUCUGGUGGGUAGUUUGACUGGGGCGGUCUCCUCCUAAAGAGUAACGGAGGAGCACGAAGGUUGGCUAAUCCUGGUCGGACAUCA